AAUAUCUUUCUAGAGGAGGAAGCAGGUUGGAGGAGGAGGAAAAGUAUAGUCAUUCAGUAUUUGUAUUCCACCGUAGGAAUCCCGGAAGAAAAGGUGGAAGCUCCAAUAAAAGGUCCAGGGGUUGUUUGGACAGCAUGGGCUUUCUUACAUGUACUCUAUGUGUUGUGUGUAGUUCUACAAACACCUUCACAUAUACACGUCUCAUUAACAUCUUAAAUCUCUAAGAAAAGUUGAGCACGUUGGGAACACAGUGGGUCUUGGGUCAUACAGUCUGGAGUGCCUCCGUUCAGCAGUUGCAGGGGGUUUUCAGUUCUCCUCCUUGCCCUCUCGUUUCCCUCAUGUGCUGAUGUUGCAACCAUUGUGUAAGUUCUUCCCUGGCUCACCAUCAGGCCUGUUCUCCUUCCUGAUCACUACCCUGUUUCCACAGUGCAGAAGAUGCCCCUGUGGACGGAAUACUCAAGUGCGUUCCAGAGAGACUUCGUGUUGAUGUAAAGCAGCAGUGACUUAGAAAGGCUGAGAACGCAGACCCUGACGACCUGGAGAGGCUGUGCUUAGCAUGGGAAUCACAGAGAGAUUUAUCUUAAAGGUGUCCAGGAGGCCAGAAAACUACAUUGGAUCUCUCAAAGCUGGGUUUCCAGGCACUUGUGAGCUGCCUGAUGUAAGUGCUGGGAACUGAACUCAGGUCCUCUGCUAGAGCAGCCCUCCGCUUGCUCACAGAUGCUGGGGCCUCUCUCCAGUCCCCUCCUGUUCCUCCAUCUGAGGCAGAAGCACAUAACAAUGGCAACUAGAGAGCGAGUGAACAGAACAUGAGAGCACAGGCACUAAGAACAGCAAUCAAUAAAUGGGACCCAGGAAACUGAAAACCUUCUGCAAAGCAAAGGACACCGUCAAUAGGACAAAACAGAGGCCCAAGAAUGGGAAAAGGUGUUCACCAACUCCACAGCUGACAGAGGGCUAGUAUGAGAAAUAUAUAAAUAACUCAAGGAUCUAGACAUCAGCAAACUAAAUAAUCCAGAGGUACCGGUUUAAACUGAGAGUUUUCGUCAGGGAAAUGCAAAUCAAAAAUGACUUGAGAUUCCGUCUUAUAUCAGUGCUAUGGCUAAGACCUAAAACACAAGGGACAGCUCUUGCUGGCGAGGACAUGGAGCAAGAACACUCCUCCAUUGCUGGCGGGAGUACAAAUGUGUACAUCUCCUUCAGAUAUCAAUAUGGCGGCUCCUCAGAAGAUUGGAAAUGGAGUUGCCUCAAGACCUAGCUAUACCACUCCAGGGCAUAUACCCAAAAGAUGUUUCAUCCUUUCGCAGGGACACUUGCUCAACUCUGUUCAUAGCAGCUUUAUUCAUAAUAGCCAGAAAUAACCUAGAUGGCCCUUAACCAAAAAAAAAAAAUAGAUAAGGAAAAUGUGGUACAUUUACACAAUGGAGUGUUACUCGGCUGUUAAAAACAAUGACAACACGAAAUUUUCAAGCAAGAUGGAUGGAACUAGAAAACAAUCAUGCCAAGUGAAGCAACACAGACCGAGAAAGACACACAUGAUAUGUCCUCACUUCUGAGUGAAUAUUAGCCGUCAUCAGUCCAGGGGCCUAGAGAAGCUAAGUAACAAGGAGGGCUUAAAGGGGGUGCAAAGAUCUCCCUAGGAAGGGGAAAUAGAAUAGAUUUUCUGGAUGAACUAGGGGCAGAUGGGGAUGGGAAUAGGAGAGGAGGGUGCGGGGAGAGAAGGAGAAAACACUGGGAGAAAGUACUGGAGUUGGGGGACAUAUGGGGGUGAGGUAGAAACCUAGUGAGUGCAGUGGAAACUCCAUGAAACCUUACAAGAAUAACCUUAGCAAGGACUCCUAGUAAUGGGGGACAUGGAGCUUGAACUGGGCACCUGGCCAUCUUCUGUAACCAGGCAAAGCCACAAGUAGAAGGAUUGGGACACCAAUCUAGCUGCAAAACCUUCCACCUACAGUUUGUCCUGCCUGCAGAGUGUGCUGGCAUAGGAGUCUAGCAGAACUGUCAUUAAAGAGACCACAACUGAUGGUAACAGACGCAGAGCCCCCCAGCCAAACAUUAGGUGGAUCUCAGGGAGUCCUGCAGAGAGAGGUCGGAAGGAUCAAAGGAACUAGAGGGAUCAGAAACACACCAUGAGAACAGAGUGAACUGACCAGGACUGUGGGGACUCACAGAGAUCAGGGAGCCAGUAGGAGUCUGAUCUAGGUCCUCUGCAAAUAUGUUAUGGGUGAGUAGCUUGAUGUUCUUGUGGGAAUUUUAACAGUGGGAGCAGGGGCUGUCCCUGACUCCUUUGCCUACCUGUGGGGCCCUUUCUUCUUACUGGGUUGCCUUGUCCAGCCUUGAUGUGAUGCUAUGUGCCUGGUCUUAUUGUAACUUGUUUGGUUGAUGUCUCUGAGAGACCUGCUCUUUUCUGAGGGGAGACACAGCAGAGAUGGAUCUGGGGAAAAGGAAAGGUGGUGGGAGAGACUGGGAGGGGAGAGGAAAGAUAAAAUUUGAUUUGGAUGUAAUAUCUGAGAGAAGAAUAAAGAAGAAAAAAGAAAAAAGAAAAGGUGGCGUUACUAGCUUUUCGAGGUGGAAGUAUUUUUGAUUAUGGCAUGACCAAUUCCUGCUUACCCUCUCUAGCCUUGGGAGAAUGAUUGAGGCCAGGACAAGAAGGUGUAUUAACACUGUUGUGGUUGGCCAAGGCUCAAAGAAACACCUGGCUGAGCUCAGUGUGGGCCACUACCUAGAGCUGUGCAUUCAGGAACCAGGCAUCCCCCAGUGAGUUUCCUGCUGAGAACCUGGCUUGGGGAAGGUAAUGGGGAACUCCAUUUGGAGUUGUGGCCUGGGAUCACUAAAUGGCAAGUGCUUGAAAAAUUUCAGAUGUCAAACUGAAAAAUUACAAGCCAGUCAAUAAAAGAAUUAGUUGGCUCAUCAGAAAAAUGAAUAAAACACCAUAGCUAAACCCACAAGAGAAGAAACGUAUAAGAUGCCUGGUUUUUGAGAAACACAAAUAGAAAGAAAAAUUUUUUUCUCUACCAGGCGAUCAAGAUUAAAAGACACUCAAAGCCCAGUGUUGGUAAGUGUUGGCAGAGAGCCUGUUUGUGACCAGACUCUAGCUGGGUUCUCUGCGCCCUUUUCUCAACUUGGUUUCAGCCUCUAAAUCACAGGCUUGGCAGCACAGAUGAGACUUAAACAUCAACCUAGCUUCUAGAAGCUCAAGGCUAUGUCCUCAGGAUGACCUCAUCUGUCAGUCUGGCUGCUUGGGAAGCUCAGCCCUGGAAAAGAACUCUGUUAUUUAGGCUAGCACAGGCCCCUGACCAACAACUCAAACUAUACUGAUUAAUAAGGGCUCAGAGCUGUGAACCUGCUCCCAUCCAUAUAGCUUGAGAUACUCUUUUUUGUGUUUCUAGGAAAUCAUCUGAAAGAUUUCAGCACUGGGAAAGAUGUUCAGAACACAAGAUGUCCAUACUGUCUUUCUAUAGGUGGGUGAUGGAUAGGAAUAUAAGUGUGUGUUUCCAAGAACUCCAUCUAGAAAGGUUUUUUUUUUUCUAAGCUGAAAGGUAGACUGCAUGACGUUUACCCUCAUUUUUGGCAUCCUGUUAUUGUGUAUUUUGUUGUAGUAAGCAUGCGUCUUUCCUCUAAGAAGAAAAGAAUACAAGGAUGUUUUAUUUUUAUGCUGAGAAAAUGGAUUGUAACCAGAGACACUCAGCUGGGAAUGGGGCCCUGGGCUUGGUUGUGGCUUCAAUGGUCUUGCUACCCAGCUCUGACAAAGUACCAAUACUAUUAAAAUGUGUUCAUUAUGUUUAUAAGAAAAUUCUGAAUAGCCAGUGAAGAUUUUAUUACUUAAAAUUAUACAUGUAUUUAUUUUUUACUUAUUUGUUCAUUCAGACUGUGUGUGUGUGUGUGUGUGUGUGUGUGUGUGUGUGUGUGUCGGGGGUGUGGUCAGAAGAUAACUUGGAGCAAUUGGUUCUCUCCUUCUAUGAUAUGGGUCCCCGGGAUCAAAUGCAGAUGUCCAGGCUUGGUGGACUUUACCAACCGAGCCAUCUCAACAGUCCCAGUAUAUUUUUUGAAAAUCACUUUUAUGCUAAGAAGCUAAUUUUGAACAUCAAACGUUCAAGUACCUCUUAUAAUUGAAGCCAUGGCAGAAUUCUUUCUCCAUUAAGUUUUACUAGCUGUAAAGCUAUUAAUGAAUCUAGGAAAUUAUGUUGUUCCAGUGUAAGGAGGUCCGGUGUUCUUGCUGGGGCCACUGGGCAGGAAGUAACCCUUUCCAGGGACCUUCCAAGCAGAUGAACUCCAGAGUCUGAACUUUGUGGGUUUGCCUUAACCAUCAUAGGAGACAACACUUCAGAAUAAAGCUAUCCACAGAAAUGAGUCAAACUAACAGCAGGGCGAAGCCAAGUUUUGGUCCUGGGCUUUUAUUGGAACGAGAAGUUUGAUUUGACGUAAUUUAAAUUUUGGUUGAGUUUCUGCUACUUACUUCCCCAAGGUUAUUAACUAAAUACAUGACCUUGGAAAUUUUCCAUGAUUCCUUAGCUUAUGACACUAAGGACACACCUCCUGUCCAUGACCCCUCUGACCCUGGGCUUGAUCCCUCACUAGAGAGCAGGGGGAUGGGUAUUAUGUUGUAUAUAAUAUGUGCUAAAGACCAGGCUGUUGAAAGCAUUUGUUUACAGAGAGUGCCUGCGACAGCAGUGCUCACUUUAUUUGUCUGGGGCAUCUGUAUCAGUCAUGUUUUUAGGGUUCUUAGGUGAAGAUAUGGUCUUGUCUGUGUACCAAAGGACUAACCGGCUGGGACAAUAUCUGUGGGAUGGAGUUAGGAAUGAAAAAUAUGAACUCAUGAAAAACGUGAACUUGUGGGUUUCAAUACUUGUAGAUGUUGACAUAUAGACUUGCGUGUGUGUGUGUGUGUGUGUGUGUAUGUGUGUGUGUGUGUGUGUGUGUGUGUGUGUGUGUGUGUUUUCUCUAGCUCUGUGUACUAAUAGUCCUGGGCGCAGUGAUUUUCUGCUUAAUGGAGAACACACUCAACUAGAGCUCUGGAAAAACUUCUGGAAAUUACCAGACUGGGUGGUAGAUAAUAGCAGUCACAUUUGGAAUAUCUUGUGCCACAGCAGAGAAAUGUUCCAAGACUGAUGAGGACUUAUCACAUGUGCACAUAGAAGCCAGAUUACAGGGAACAAUUUGAGAACCAAAAUAAAUAGUCCUACUAACAGAGAGCCUGUUGGAUAAAGUAUGAUUUUACAAGUACAUACACAAUACAACCACAUGUAAAUUAAAAGGUUGAUGAGCAACCGGGCUACCUAUGCAUAUUCAGGUCCUCAUAACAACAAAGUUCUCAUUAAUUAUAAGGGACAGAAAAAGAUUUUUUUUCCAGUAGGAAACCCUCAUCAACAUUGCCAUAAUUAAGUACUCGAAGUGAGCAUCUGUAGGGAGCAGUUGGAAAAUCGUAAGUCAGUUCUGACAUACUAUUGCCAAAGACGAGUAACCUGAAUUGCACAGCCACAGCCACUCUGAGGGACACCAAAUGGAACAAUUGUAAUGUUCACAAGUGUCAGGGCUGCAGAAGUCACGGGAAGGCAGAGAAUAACGCCAGAUUGAAGGAGGCGAAAGAGGCACAAUGACUAUAUAAAUGUGGUCCGGGUUACAUCUUUUUCUAUAAAGGACACUUAUUGAGACAAUGGGUGAAACUUGCACUACACAGGGACUGGACAGCAUCAUGUUGCGAUGAUUUCUUUGCAGGCAGAAUACAGCAGAGAUUGGCUGACAGCAAGGAACUCUGUAGACAACACACUCAUAAAUGUCUUCUUCCCUUUUUUCUCCACCACUCCCUUCUUCCUCUUUAUCCUCUACUCCAGGGCAUGGAAGCUCUGAAAUGUCACGUGCCCUGAGUUGUAGCUCCGUCCCUGUUCUUGCAAUGUUUGGGAUUCUCACUGAACAAAAAUAAAAAUGAAGGGGCUAGAGAGAUGGCUUAGCAGUUCAGAGCACUUGUUACUUUUCCAGAGGACUGGCGUUUGGUUCAAGCAUCCAUAUUAGGCGGCUGACAACUGCCGGAGGCUCUAGCUUCUGAGGAUCUGACACCUCUGGCUUCCUUAGGCAUGCGGACUCAUACCAACAUGCAGACAGUCGCCUACACAUAAUUAAAAUAUAAAAAUAAAUCUUAAACAAAUCUACAAACAAACAAAAUUCUAAAACCAAGAAGCAAACAGGUCAGAAACAAGAGUUUGGAAGGCAUAUGGCAGGGGCUGGGGUAGUAUGGCUGACUUAACUAGCUUCCUAUUGCUGUGAUAAAACACCAUGAUCCAAAGAAAGGUGGGAGAAGAGGGUUUAUUUUAUUUUCACUUCCACAUCACAGUUCAUCCCUGAAGGAAGUGAGACGGAAACUCAAGGCAGGAACCUGGAGACAGGAAUGGCGCAGGAGCAGCCAUGGGGGAGUGCUGCUUAUUGGCUUGCUCAUCAUGGUUUGCUCAGCCUGAUUUCGUAUACACCCAGGAUCACCAGCCCCGGGGUGGCACCACCCAGAGUGAGCAAUGCCAGUUAUGAAAAUGUACCACAGACUUGACCACAAGCCAAUCUGGUGGGGCAUUUCCCUUCCCCCUUCUCAAAUGACUAUAGCAUAUGUCAAGUUGAUAUAAGACUCACCACUAAAAUGGCUAUCGGGGUUAAAGAAACUUGCUUGUUGUUUGAUGGGGCUAGUAUUGGGCUUGGAGAUGUAUACUCUAUCACAGAAAGGCUAGGACAGUGGGGAGCUGAAGGAAAGAUUAUUUUUUAAUGCUUUAUCUGUUUUAAGCCCUAGCUGGGGCAUUUAAUUCCAAUUUAACCAUUAUAUAAAUGUUAAGGAUGAAACUUUAAUCCGCAUUGUAAAAAAUGGACAAAAUGAGGUGACUUGUUCAAAGCAAUACAAGCUAUCAAGUGGAACCAACAUUUAAAUGCCAGGAUGUGUGAUCUGAAAGACGGCGAGACAGCAGAGAAAUGGUACCAUCAAGGUACUAAAGACAGCUUAACCUUUGCCCUCAGACACUGAGAGGGAAAAUGACUGUUUGCUGUUAAGAUUGAGACCAGGGUGUGAAUAAUCUGAAGAAAUGUGCUUGUUGUGUUUCUGGGGAAAUAGAAGAAAGAGUAACAGAAAAAGAUGGAGAAACACCUUCACUAACAAGUGAGAGGGAGCAGGAGUCCAAGGAAUUUGCAGAGGGCUGAGGGUAUGACUAUCUGACUUUUCAGGUGGCUUUAACAAUCCCCUCUUCUGGGUUUGUGUAUCUUGUGUGACACUCUCCCAUUGAGUGGGUUGAGUUUAUGGUCUUGCUUGUGAUAAGGUAAUAGAACAACUUAGAAAAUAUCACUUUCGUAAUGGAUGUCAUUACCAAUGAAGAUGAGGAGAAGGAAGAGGAGGAGGAGGAGGAGGAAAGGGAGAAAGAAGGAAGGAAGAAGGAAGGAAGACAGGCAGGCAGACAGAUGGACAGAAGAAAGAAAGGAAAGAAAGAAAGAAAGAAAGAAAGAAAGAAAGAAAGAAAGAAGAGAAAGAAAUGAGAAAGAAAGGAAAGCACGUCAAUACUUGUGGCACUUCCAUGGUCAUUUGUGGUGUGUACAGAGUAGAGGCAAAUUUGCAUUGCCCAAGAUAGGAACUCCAGCUGAGGGUGAACAGAGGGUCAUGUCUUUGUUUCAGCUUGCAUACUAUAAAGAAGUGUCUUCUCCUAUGUUUUUCCUUCUGUCCUUUUUGUUGAUUUCACUCUUUAAGAUGACUCCCAAGUGUAAUGAUGAAAUACUGCCUAAUACUUUUAAAUUCACGAGGGCUAUUAUAAUGUGUCAUCUUUUGCUAUUGUGUUAUUGUGAUGCUAGGAAUCAGAUCUGGGGUCUUGAGUGUGCCAAGCAUAAGCCCUCCAGGGCUACAACUCCAGCCCUGUGACUGACUUGACUUGUGGAGAGAUUACAUGUGCAGAGGACCUUUGCUCUGGCGUGGGAAAUAUUCAAGCUGUUGGCUACGAGCUCAGUAAAAACAUAUUAAAUAGGUGCUUUUAAACACACACAUACACACACACACACACACACACACACACACACACACACACACCCCUGUAUGUUGGUCAGUGGCUGAAAGUGCUACAAUCAGAGGCUCCUCUCAACCCAGCCCUGUGCCUUUUCAGAGAGCCAACAACAACUUGGCAAAGGCAAUCGUGAACAUGACAGACAACUGGAAAAUUCAUCUCAUCAACUUAAGAGGGAAGAGUUUUAAAAGGAAAUCAAGGCCGAAAUGUCCAGGGCUGUAUGUUCCUCUCUAGGGAUGAGACUGAAGAAACAGGGGAGAGCAGUUAUUUCUGUCAAAACAGUUAUAUACUUAAAAAAAGAAUUAUGGUUAAAAAUGUUAUUUUAGGGGCUGGAAGAAUGGCUCAGCCCUAAGAACUCUUACUGCUCUUGCAAAAAACCUAAGUUUGAUUUCCAGCACCCGUGUAAGUUGGCUCACGGCUGCCUGUAACUCCAGCUCCAGGGAGUUCAGUACCUUCUUUGGCAUCCUGAGGCACUGCAUGACAUGGUGCACACAGAGGCCGGCAGGCAGGUAGGCAGACAGACAAACAGACACACAGGAGAACAAAUGCAUGCAUACACAUACGGAAAAGGAUCUUUAAAGGAAGUUUUUAUGGAGUAAAUGUGAAAUGAAACAUGUAGGCAAAUCAGCUCUGUAAAGCGAGUCCCACUCUGUAAUGCCCAACGCUGUGUGAGGUUCAACGCUUUGAAGGUCAUCAGCUGAACUAAAGACUUUCUUGCCCGUCUAGAAUGAUGAAAUUGGGGCGGCUCCUGGCAAGGCUUCUGCACACCGACUCAGCCAACACAGGGAAAUGGCAGAGGAGACCAUACAAAGCCAAGCAGCCCUUUGGAGACACAGUCUGCAUAGGCACAGCUUUUCCAUGACCUCCCCCUGAAAGACACAGCAUUGAUGGCUGAAAGCCUAAGUUGUCCUUCUUUCUAAAUUUUAAACUUAAUUCCAUAAGACUCCUUUUUAUUCGAAUUAUUAAUUAGGCUCUCCGUUUUACCCCUCACCACUCCUAAGAGUGUGCUUGAAAACACAUGGGUUUGCAUAAUGCCUGCCUUUGUUUAGCAUGUGGGUUUGGGAAAAAUUUAUUUCCUUUCCAUCUCUGCCCUGUGACUUAAGUGUUCCUCUGAAUGUGUAGCUUGUUGCCCCUCACAGCUGUGCCAUGCUGAACAGUGUACACCCACCUCAUUCUACCCAGUUCACCCCAUCCCUCCAUUCCCACCACCUUAGGCUACAGGAUGGAAAUGCUCCUAAAUGUCCACAAUGUCACAGUCUGGCAGUCUUUUGUCUGUGACGAGCUCAGCCUUGUCUUUGCUUUUUCCAUUCCUUGAUCCUGACAGACACCAGAACUCACCCUUCGGUCUUGAGAACACUAACAUGCUCACGUUUUAUUAGUGUAUUUGUUUAUUCAGAGUGCUGUGACUUCCUGUGGAAGACUAUGUGCUAGGACUCUGUGAUGCUGGGGAAUGGAACCUAGGGCUUUGUCCAUGCUAGGUAAGCACUCAACCAGCUCAGCUACUAUUUAUUUAAUUUAAAAAAAAAAGGUAUAGUUAUGGUUUCCAACUCUGGUUUUGCCUAAAGGCUAUGAAAGUUCAAAAAGACUCUAGAAAACAAAAAGGGAAACAAUGACAACUGAGGUUGAAAUGGCACCACCCGCUGUGUGUGUGUGUGUGUGUGUGUGUGUGUGUGUGCAUUCAUGUAUGUGCGUGCACAUAUGAAAGCAUGUGUGUGCAUGAACACAUGUAUGUGCAUGUGUAUGUAUGUGUGUAUGUAUGUGCAUGUGUUUGUAGGUAUAUGUGUGUGCACGUGUGUAUAUGUAUCCAUGCCCGUGUGGGCACAUACACAUGCAUGUGUGUGAUUUGCUGGGGAUCAGACACGGAACCUUGCUCAUUCCAAGUGUGUGUUUCUCCACUGAACUCUACCCCAGCCCUUAGUAUGCUUUACUUUAAAAAUAAACGUCAUGAAAAUGCAAUAGAAAGUGUCACGAAGAGAUACUUCCAAAGAGUAAAUGGUCCAUUUUAAAAGUACAGUGCAAAAGCCUCCAAGACAUAACAGGUAAAACUAGGCAGAAAACAAUAGGGUUAAAUGGCUGGGAAAGUCAAAAUGCAUAAGGCUUUUUGCCCGUGACAAAUGCCCAGCAUAUUCUGUUCCUGCUCAGGGAAGCCACAGAGAGUUUCACUGAGUUGAAAAAGGAAACCACAGUGUGUGGAAUCUAUUUUUAUUUUUUGAGUUACACAGUAGGGGUGUAGAGAUACAUUGUGUUCUUACAUAUUUUCAUAAUUUUAAUCCAUACUAUCCAGAUAGAAUUUAUUUCUUUACCAAAACAAGUCUAAUAUAUACUUUAUUCUGAGCAAUCCAAUACACGUAGAAAACUCUUUAGAUAUAGAAAAGAUUAAUGUGUGCACACCUAGAUAUUCCUAAAAGUAGCAGACCACUGGGGCAUAUGGAUAAGACAAGAAUUGUGCAGAACCAUAAAGGAACUCUUAAAAUGACAUCCUAAGUAUGUGAGCUAGGGAGGGUGGCUUCCUUGCUUAUCGGUAUGCCCUAGGGAGGAACCAUAUAUAACACUGUAUGGCUUCAGUAGGAACUUUGGGGUCUCCCUCCACCCCUAGUUAUUUUCACUCUUCAACCACUCCCACCCUGAUGACUCCUUGGUGUUCCCUUAACUACAAAUCUACAGGAAAAGGUGCAAAGCAGGUCCUGGCAGUCCAGACCAAAGCAAGAAUGCGCAGGGAACAGACCCUAGAGCAGAGCGAUGUGAAAGUUACAUCUACCUGAUUAUGGGCUAUUUUCCCAGGAUUCCCUAGAAGCCUAUUCAUUUGAUGAACAUGAUAGCUUUUCUCUAGUACGUGCAAUUAAAGUAACUUGUUUUUUGAAGACAGUAAGAUAGCAUGUGCUUAAAUAUUGUAAUGGUAUUACCUUCCUUAGGAUAUUCCAAACAUCAUUGAUUUGAAACCGCUCACACUAAAUUCACUAUGUCACACCAUGAGUGAGUAAUUUUCCAUACACGGACUCAAAGAAAAGUGUGAAUGGCAUGCCUGUUUGCCUGUUGCCAUAUCUGGUUGUGAAAAGCACGCUCUAUCAACAGUCCCAUGUCUACAGACUUGCUCAGCCGAACUCUGCAGUUCUCACAACAUCGUAGGUUUAACAGAGCUGGAGGAACCGUGUAAUUCAUCUUCCAAAAUGGAACAUGUAGGAGUUGAUAUGCUAAGCAGGUGAGCAAAUCAGGAUAUUGGAUAACAAUACUCAUUAUCACCAUGAUGUUUGAGGUGGGCUUCCAAAGGGCAGGGCAGGCUGUGGGAGCCUAGUCGACACUGGGGUUUUUCUAUCAAAUUAGCCAAAAAAAAAAAAAAAAUGAGGAGGGAGAUUGAAAAGAAGACAAAGGUCAAAAAAGAUACUAAGUUGAAAGGGAUCAGCAGGUGAAAGUAAGGGGUGGAGCCUUGUGAAGGAAAGGGAACUGGCACGGGUAUAUUGGGUGAGCUUGUAUGGACGACAGAUGGGAAACGGAUAAAAGCAGAUAGAGCCAGAGGAACCCUGGCGCCUGGGCUUCUUCAGGGCUCAGCUCUCCUCAACAGAGCCACCAGGCAGGGAAUGUCUUCACUCUGUGCCUGCCGGCUACUUGGUAACAGAUGACUUUGGAGAACGAUUCUAAACGUUUUUCGGAUAUUUUCAGUUUGAGUCUGGCGAGUCCAUGCGUUAAGAGAGCCACACUUUUGUGAGAAGGACCCACCGCUUUUUUCAGAAGGCCAUGGGUGAUGUUUCACUGUCUGUAAAUGUUGAAUUUUUUUUUUUACAAGCAUAGACAUGGUGGUGCAAGCCUGUAAUGCCAGCACCUGGGAGGCCAAGGCAGGAGGAUUACCACAAGUUUGAGGCCAGCUUGAUCUACAUAGUGAGUUCUAGUCCAUUUAGGGAUACAUGGUGAGAUCCUAUCUUGAAAGAAAAAAUGUUUUUGACAAAACCAAAUGAUAUUACAGCCACCUCUGUGCACUCAGUUGGAAAAAACAUUUAAAUAAAUGCACAGAGUAUGGAGGCCAGGGUAGGAAUGGAUAUUUGGGGUCAGCACACUUUUUUUUUUUCUCCUGUAAAGAUAGUGUUUCUUCUUUGUGGAGAACUGUCUGUUGUCAGUAUUCAGUUCUGGUGAAGAAGGUGCAAAAGAAGCUUCAGACAGAUAAGUAUUAAUUUUUGUUUUCAACUGUUAAGUGUGGAAACCACCUUUCCUUGUAGUGACCGGGUCGUAGCCUCGGUAUAGCUUGCCAACCUCUGCUAGAGAUGCACAGAUUGGAAGUGGCCAUGACAAUAUAAGGGGUAUCUAAAAACAAGAAAUGGGCUAUUUCAGAAAGGCUAGUAUAUACUUGCAUUUAACGUUAAGUUUCUUUUUUUUUUUUUUUUUUGGUUCUUUUUUUCCGGAGCUGGGGACUGAACCCAGGGCCUUGCGCUUCCUAGGCAAGCGCUCUACCACUGAGCCAAAUCUCCAACCCUAACGUUAAGUUUCUUAAAGCAGACUGUGCUUGCAAUGCAUCCGAGUGUUAAUUUUGGAUGAUUCGAUGUUACCCAAUAAUUUCUGAGUGGGCCACCUGGGAGUUGGCACACGAAGCAUAAAGGUUGGAGCCUGUUCUGUGGCCUGAAGCACAGUUCAUCUUAAGUUUCACAAUAUGAAGUUCUUCAGAGAUCAUUAGGGAGUGAUGUUGUAAAGGAGCGAUUUACAAACAGAUACAGAAAGUAAAGUGUACAUGGGUUAGAGAGCCCAGGUUCCUUCUGAAAAACUGAAAGAUGACUGAUGUGGAUAGGAAGGGAGGAGAUGCCUUAGCUGAAGGGGAUUUGCUAUCUGUCUGUCUGUCCUAUUCAGGCUCAGCUUUUCAUAGAGUUCCAGAGAGCCACAUUCACAGGACAAGGCAAGCCCUGUGCAUCUUAACUCUAGAGCAAGCUCUGCAGGGAAGUUCAGUCAGUCUACAGAAAUGUAUCUAUGUCUGUCAAACAACAGAAUUAGGCUUUGCUUUCGGUAAACACCAGUCUAAGGAACCGAGUCCCACUGCACCAAGGACUGACGUCAGAGUAAAAUGGAAGGUCCUAUCUUCUUGCUAAGGUUCAACUAAAAUCAUUGAGGCACAUAAUUGGCAAAAAUAGGAAAAUACACAACAUUUCAUAAAAUAUGUUAACCGUAAACAAAUUCUCUUCCCAUCCCUCCCCCCCCCCCCCGAGGUUUCCAAUGGCACCAGGUGGUGCAAAGUGGAGAUGUCACCAUUUCUGUCGCUUCCAGGUAGGUGUGUCCCAGCAAAAUCA
Long non-coding RNA from Rattus norvegicus (Norway rat), 13276 nucleotides. RefSeq lists it as uncharacterized. Lineage: Eukaryota; Metazoa; Chordata; Mammalia; Rodentia; Muridae. The record is from RefSeq and is a predicted model, not a curated record.